UGGAUCACCUCCUAACAGGGAGACAAACAACGAUUUUGAUGCCUGAGUGAAUUAUUCUUAGGCCAAGAUCCUGUCACCUUAGGUCGAUCGGUACCUCAACUUUGAAGUCAAGAAUGCAUAGCAAUAUGGAUUGCUUGAUGGAGAUUUUCAGUUCCUAAAUUUUGUCUAGGUCACACCCCACAAGGGUUGAGUUUUCCUGGGUCAUUAGCUCAGGUGGUUAGAGCGCACCCCUGAUAAGGGUGAGGUCCCUGGUUCAAGUCCAGGAUGGCCCAUUCGGUGUUGGGGGUUUAGCUCAGUUGGUAGAGCGCCUGCUUUGCAAGCAGGAUGUCAGGAGUUCGAGUCUCCUAACCUCCACUGACCGAACUCAACGUCCAGCUUUGCAUCGAAGGAUGGAAAGCGUCUCGAUUGUGAAGUGUGAUCUGGAACUGUCCGCUGGAUGAUCCCAGCUUCCUGUCAUUCCAAAGAGUGAGUGUGAACUCAGAAUUUGGUUGAUAAGACGCUGGGCUCAAAUAAGGAUGUUGAAUGAUCAACAUUUUUGUUUGAUGUCUGGCAGAACCUUGACAACUGCAUAGGUGAGUCUGGAAAAAACAAAGCAUCUCAUGGAUGCAUUGUUUUGAGUCUGAACAUUCGAAUGAAUGUUUGGAACCAGAGCAAUGAAAAUUCUUUUGAGCAAGAGCCGAGACUCUUGAACGUUCUUUGAUUUGUGUCGAGCAGAUCAGAGUUUGAUUGUAUUUUCAGUCAAAGUGAAAACUAAGAUUGAAAGUAUGAGAAUCUGUUUACAACGAUAGCAAGCGUUCAGAGAAUAAAUUGGUCAAGCUACAAAGGGCUCAUGGUGGAUACCUUGGCACACAGAGGCGAUGAACG
RNAcentral lists this transfer RNA (864 nucleotides) under uncultured Synechococcus sp. RNAcentral describes it as "partial contains 16S ribosomal RNA, 16S-23S ribosomal RNA intergenic spacer, and 23S ribosomal RNA". The stretch from base 282 to 354 matches the Rfam family "tRNA". Lineage: Bacteria; Bacillati; Cyanobacteriota; Cyanophyceae; Synechococcales; Synechococcaceae. The record is from RNAcentral.